GAUGAACGCUGGCGGCGUGCCUAAUACAUGCAAGUCGAGCGAACGGACGAGAAGCUUGCUUCUCUGAUGUUAGCGGCGGACGGGUGAGUAACACGUGGAUAACCUACCUAUAAGACUGGGAUAACUUCGGGAAACCGGAGCUAAUACCGGAUAAUAUUUUGAACCGCAUGGUUCAAAAGUGAAAGACGGUCUUGCUGUCACUUAUAGAUGGAUCCGCGCUGCAUUAGCUAGUUGGUAAGGUAACGGCUUACCAAGGCAACGAUGCAUAGCCGACCUGAGAGGGUGAUCGGCCACACUGGAACUGAGACACGGUCCAGGCUCCUACGGGAGGCAGCAGUAGGGAAUCUUCCGCAAAGGGCGAAAGCCUGACGGAGCAACGCCGCGUGAGUGAUGAAGGUCUUCGGAUCGUAAAACUCUGUUAUUAGGGAAGAACAUAUGUGUAAGUAACUGUGCACAUCUUGACGGUACCUAAUCAGAAAGCCACGGCUAACUACGUG
RNAcentral lists this ribosomal RNA (497 nucleotides) under uncultured bacterium. Its description in RNAcentral is "partial 16S ribosomal RNA". It matches the Rfam family "Bacterial small subunit ribosomal RNA", at positions 28 to 507 of the family's 1533-position model. The record is from RNAcentral.